This 878-nucleotide ribosomal RNA is filed under the name Lactobacillus delbrueckii subsp. bulgaricus. Its description in RNAcentral is "partial 23S ribosomal RNA". It matches the Rfam family "Bacterial large subunit ribosomal RNA", at positions 396 to 1279 of the family's 2925-position model. Lineage: Bacteria; Bacillati; Bacillota; Bacilli; Lactobacillales; Lactobacillaceae. The record is from RNAcentral.
CCUAUCAGUAUCCUGAGUAGGGCGGGACACGUGAAAUCCCGUUUGAAUCCGCGAGGACCAUCUCGCAAGGCUAAAUACUAACCAGUGACCGAUAGUGAACCAGUACCGUGAGGGAAAGGUGAAAAGAACCCCGGGAGGGGAGUGAAAGAGAACCUGAAACCGUGUGCCUACAAGUAGUCAGAGCCCGUUAACGGGUAAUGGCGUGCCUUUUGUAGAAUGAACCGGCGAGUUGCGUUAGUCAGCAAGGUUAAGUCAGAAAAGACGGAGCCGUAGCGAAAGCGAGUCUGAAGAGGGCGAGCAGUUGGCUGACGCAGACCCGAAACCAAGUGACCUACCCAUGACCAGGUUGAAGGCGCGGUAAAACGCGCUGGAGGACCGAACCCACGUAAGUUGAAAAUUGCGGGGAUGAGUUGUGGGUAGCGGUGAAAUUCCAAACGAACUUGGAGAUAGCUGGUUCUCUCCGAAAUAGCUUUAGGGCUAGCCUCGCAAAGAGGAUGCUGGAGGUAGAGCUCUGUUUGGACUAGGGGCCCGUCAAGGGUUACUGAAUUCAGAUAAACUGCGAAUUCCAGACAUUUAUGUGCGGGAGUCAGACUGCGAGUGAUAAGAUCCGUAGUCGAAAGGGAAACAGCCCAGAUCACCAGUUAAGGUCCCAAAAUUCAUGCUAAGUGGAAAAGGAUGUGGAGUUGCGCAGACAACUAGGACGUUGGCUCAGAAGCAGCCAUCAUUCAAAGAGUGCGUAAUAGCUCACUAGUCGAGUGACGCCGCGCCGAAAAUUUACCGGGGCUAAGCAUGAUACCGAAACUGUGGAUGUGCGUUUAUGCACGUGGUAGGAGAGCGUUCUAGCGGCGGUGAAGCAUGACCGAGAGGACAUGUGGAGC